UACGUAGGGGGCGAGCGUUGUCCGGAAUCAUUGGGCGUAAAGGGCGCGUAGGCGGCUUCAUAAGUCAAAGGUGAAAUCCCUCGGCUCAACUGAGGAACUGCCUUUGAAACUGUGGAGCUUGAGGCCGGGAGGGGGUAGCGGAAUUCCCAGUGUAGCGGUGAAAUGCGUAGAUAUUGGGAGGAACACCAGUGGCGAAGGCGGCUACCUGGACCGGAACUGACGCUGAUGCGCGAAAGCGUGGGUAGCAAACAGG
This 253-nucleotide ribosomal RNA is filed under the name uncultured bacterium. RNAcentral's name for it is "partial 16S ribosomal RNA". It matches the Rfam family "Bacterial small subunit ribosomal RNA", at positions 524 to 776 of the family's 1533-position model. The record is from RNAcentral.